RNAcentral lists this long non-coding RNA (379 nucleotides) under Capsicum annuum. RNAcentral's name for it is "long non-coding RNA (CANN_LNC003235)". The record is from RNAcentral. Lineage: Eukaryota; Viridiplantae; Streptophyta; Magnoliopsida; Solanales; Solanaceae.
GAAUAUGAAGGUACAGGCGUUCUCUGCGGGGGAUGCGGCAUAAUCGGCCACAAUCUCAGGACCUGCUCCUUCACUCCGAGCCCCCAAACACUUCCAAAUGCUAGUUCAUCAGCCACACCUCCUCAGGCAGAGAUCAAGACUGACACCAAGUGGAAACUGGUUAACUUCCCCAAAAGAAAAUCAGAAGGCAGUAAACCCUCAAACUAAGUACACAUUACUGAGGCACGAACAGGUAAGAAUUCUCACCAUAAUAAUUCAAUUCGCAAUACCACUAAUAGAUCGAGAAUCCUUUCUCUGAUGUCUAUGAGAUUGAAAAACCCUUCUCUAGUGCUGAAAGGAGCUAAACUGAAAGCGGUAGAUGGUGCCCUUGAAAAGAAGG